Non-coding RNA from Lolium perenne, 321 nucleotides. Lineage: Eukaryota; Viridiplantae; Streptophyta; Magnoliopsida; Poales; Poaceae. The record is from RefSeq and is a predicted model, not a curated record.
AGAUUGGAUCUUGAUGUAGGUGCAUGUUGGUUCAAGCAUGGAGAAGGUUGAGCUAUCCUCAGAUCUGAAGUUCUUGAGCAAAAUCCAAAUCGAGUGAUUCAAAGUUCCGCAGAUAGGUACUAAAAAGAUCUACAACUUGGCGUUGGUCUCAUCCUCAAAUUCGUUACGGAUUUUGCAUGAUCAAGAUCUGGUCAGAUCUGACUUUGUCGAAUUAAACCAGGAGCUUGGAAACGAAUUUUUGAAUGAAACCAACUGGGGGAUAAUUGGUUUAUACCAUGGUGAUAACCGAGAGAGACAAUUGCUAAGUUGUGAUGCACUCGU